RNAcentral lists this ribosomal RNA (253 nucleotides) under uncultured bacterium. Its description in RNAcentral is "partial 16S ribosomal RNA". It matches the Rfam family "Bacterial small subunit ribosomal RNA", at positions 524 to 776 of the family's 1533-position model. The record is from RNAcentral.
UACGUAGGGACCGAGCGUUGUCCGGAAUCAUUGGGCGUAAAGAGCGUGUAGGCGGCCUUUUAAGUCCUGCGUGAAAUCCUGCGGCUCAACCGCAGACGGUCGUGGGAAACUGGAAGGCUAGAGUGCGGGAGAGGAGAGUGGAAUUCCCGGUGUAGCGGUGAAAUGCGCAGAUAUCGGGAAGAACACCCGUGGCGAAGGCGGCUCUCUGGAACGUAACUGACGCUGAGACGCGAAAGCGUGGGGAGCAAACAGG